UGAAUACGAGACGCUAAGGCGUCGAAGUAGUGUAUGUCAUACUUCCAAGAAAAGCUUGCACUGUCAUAGAUAAAAAACGCCUGUACCAUAACCGACACAGGUGGGUAGGUAGAGUAUACUAAGGGGCGCGAGAUAACUCUCUCUAAGGAACUCGGCAAAAUAACUCCGUAACUUCGGGAGAAGGAGUGCCUUAUUCGUAAGGUUGCAAUAACAAGAUCCAAGCAACUGUUUAUCAAAAACACAGGUCUCCGCUAAGUCGUAAGACGAUGUAUGGGGGCUGACGCCUGCCCAGUGCCAGAAGGUUAAAGAAGUUGGUUAGCAAUUGCGAAGCUGAUAACUGAAGCCCUGGUGAACGGCGGCCGUAACAAUAACGGUCCUAAGGUAGCGAAAUUCCUUGUCGGGUAAGUUCCGACCCGCACGAAAGGCGUAAUGAUUUGGAUACUGUCUCGGAGAGGGGCUCGGUGAAAUAGACUUGUCUGUGAAGAUGCGGACUACCUGCACCAGGACAGAAAGACCCUAUGAAGCUUUACUGUAACUUGAAAUUGAAAUUGGACUUUAUUCGCGCAGUAUAGGUGGGAGGCGUUGAUUAUAAUCUUGUGGGAUUAUUGGAGCCAUCAGUGAGAUACCACUCUUGUAAUGUUAGAUUUCUAACUUUGAAUCAUUAUCUGGUCAAAGAACAGUUUCAGGCGGGCAGUUUGACUGGGGCGGUCGCCUCCUAAACGGUAACGGAGGCGUACAAAGGUUUCCUCUGAACGGUUAGAAAUCGUAUCUAGAGUGUAAAGGCAUAAGGAAGCUUGACUGUGAGACCUACAAGUCGAGCAGGGACGAAGGUCGGUCUUAGUGAUCUGACGGUACUGAGUGGAAAGGCCGUCACUCAACGGAUAAAAGUUACUCUAAGGAUAACAGGCUGAUCUCCCCCAAGAGUUCACAUCGACGGGGAGGUUUGGCACCUCGAUGUCGGCUCAUCGCAUCCUGGGGCGGUAGUACGUCCCAAGGGUUGGGCUGUUCGCCCAUGAAAGCGGUACGCGAGCUGGGUUCAGAACGUCGUGAGACAGUUCGGUCCAUAUCCGGUGUAGGCGUUAGAAUAUUGAGAGGAGCCUUCUUUAGUACGAGAGGACCGAGAAGGACAUACCUCUGGUGUACCAGUUAUCGUGCCAACGGUAAACGCUGGGUAGCUAUGUAUGGAGUGGAUAACCGCUGAAAGCAUCUAAGUGGGAAGCCCACCUCAAGAUAAGUAUUCUCAU
RNAcentral lists this ribosomal RNA (1244 nucleotides) under metagenome. Its description in RNAcentral is "bacterial LSU rRNA". It matches the Rfam family "Bacterial large subunit ribosomal RNA", at positions 1564 to 2817 of the family's 2925-position model. The record is from RNAcentral.